GACGAACGCUGGCGGCGUGCUUAACACAUGCAAGUCGAACGGAAAGGCCCUGCUUUUGUGGGGUGCUCGAGUGGCGACCGGGUGAGUAACACGUGCGUAACCUGCCCUUGCCUUUGGGAUAACUUCAGGAAACUGGGGCUAAUUCCGGUUAGGAGCUCCUGCUGCAUGGUGGGGGUUGGAAAGUUUCGGCGGUGGUGGAUGUACUCGCGGCUUAUCAGCUUGUUGGUGGGGUAGUGGCUUACCACGGCUUUGACGGGUAGCCGGCCUGAGAGGGUGACCGGCCACAUUGGGACUGAGAUACGGCCCAGACUCCUACGGGAGGCAGCAGUGGGGAAUAUUGCACAAUGGGCGGAAGCCUGAUGCAGCAACGCCGCGUGCGGGAUGACGGCCUUCGGGUUGUAAACCGCUUUCGCCUGUGACGAAGCGUGAGUGACGGUAAUGGGUAAAGAAGCACCGGCUAACUACGUG
RNAcentral lists this ribosomal RNA (468 nucleotides) under uncultured bacterium. Its description in RNAcentral is "partial 16S ribosomal RNA". It matches the Rfam family "Bacterial small subunit ribosomal RNA", at positions 28 to 507 of the family's 1533-position model. The record is from RNAcentral.